RNAcentral lists this long non-coding RNA (21116 nucleotides) under Vitis vinifera (wine grape). RNAcentral's name for it is "long non-coding RNA (VVIN_LNC000268)". Lineage: Eukaryota; Viridiplantae; Streptophyta; Magnoliopsida; Vitales; Vitaceae. The record is from RNAcentral.
CCACAACAGCUAUAUAUAUGCACACACAAAGUGUUCAUCCUCACAUCUUCACAUCUUACUACAGAUUAAGUGUUAUUCACAUUAAUUUUCAUUAACAUUCUUGUGUUGCGACAGCCAUGAUUAACUGCAAUGUGUAUGAACGCAUUUUCAAGCGCUUCGAUGAAGAUGGUGAUGGGAAACUCUCUCCUUCGGAGCUCCGACGCUGCUUGGGGACGAUAGGGGAGGAGCUGCUGAUGGAGGAGGCGCAAGAGUUGGUGGAGUCGAUGGACUCGGACGGAGAUGGGUUGCUGGGAUUGGAGGAAUUUGUGGGGUGGAUGGAGAGAGAGGGUGAAGAGAGAAAGAUGGAGGAUUUGAGAGAGGCCUUUAGGAUGUAUGAGAUGGAAGGGAGUGGGUGUAUAACUGCAAAGAGCUUGAAGAGGAUGCUGAGUAGAUUGGGGGAGUCAAGAAGUGUGGAAGAGUGCAGUGUUAUGAUCGGACAGUUUGAUGUAAAUGGGGAUGGGGUUCUGAGCUUUGAUGAGUUCAAGCUCAUGAUGCUUUAAUCUUGUUUAACAUCUUUCAUCUGAAUGUUGUAUUUUUUUUUUAGAUUUAAGAAGAGUGGUUUGUAUUCAAAAAUUAAGAUACUCCUCAUUGCUUUCCUCGUGCACAUGGUGAAGAAAAUACUCCCUAUUCUAUAUUUGAUUUUGCAAAAAAAUUCCUUUUACGGCAAAGAGCAAGUGUGAUAAAAUUUAAGUUGAUUUUUAAAUUAAAUUGUUAAUUCAAAUCAUUUUCUCUCUCUGUUUGUAAAAUAUUCAUAUUAAAAAUAUUAUAAAAAUACAUAAUAUUAUUACAUAAAAUAAUAAUGAAAUAUAUAUCAUGGAAAAAAUGAAGUAUUAAAUUAUUUUAUAUUUUUAAAAAGUUAUUUAGUCUAAGUUAUUGUUUUGCAUUAUUUUAACUUUAAAUUAUAUAGAAUUAAUUUACCAAUAUGCCUAGACCCCAUUUGAAAUAGAGUUUAACUUUUGCCCUAAUAAUAAAUAAGUAGAAGUAUAAGUAUUAUUGGUGUAAUUGAAUUUUAUAUUUUGGAAUGAUAUCUAUCCCCGCAAAUUUUGGCAGUCUUAUAAAAAAAGUAAAACUGUUGAAAAAAUAUUAGAAUAAAAUUUUUGCAUUAAAAUAAUUAUCGGGGUGCACAAUCCAUAGGACGAUAAUGAAUUGGAGUUGAAGAUCAAUUAAGGACCUUAUUUUUUUUUUUUAAGUGGGAAGUUGUUUUUCAUAAUUUUAUCAUUGAAGUUAUCAGUAUUUGUAAGUGAAAUUAGAGAAUUAAAUUUGGAAUACUGAAGAUUUGAUUAUUUAAUUCAAGAAGUUUGGUUUCUUAAAGUUAACAACUUGUCUAAUUUAUUUAGGAAAUUAGUUAAUAAGAGAAUAUUUAUUUUCAAUUUUCUUUUGAUUUUGUCUUUUUUUAUUGAGGAAAUUUGUUAAUAAAAAAUAUAUAUUUUUAAUUCUCUCCUAAACUUUAAUGAUUUGAUUUAAUUUUAUUUUGUAAUACUUUUAAAUUUCAUGAGGUGUCACAUUUGAAUUAAGGAGUUACAAUUUUGAAGAAUAGUUUAGUGGUAAUUUCAUGCACCAAAUUUUUUAUAUCUAUAUUAUCAUCAAUGUUUUUAGAAUUGGAUCAGUCAUUAAACCGGAAAAGUUAUUGAUUCACAGUUUACUGGUUGGACCAACGAUCUAACCGCGGUCGAACCGGUACCGUCAUAAAUUUAUAUUUUAUUAUUUUAUAUAUUAUUAAAAUUUUAAAAAUUACAAAAAAAUAAUAUAUUUUAUCUAAAUUUUUACAAUAUCUAUCAAAAUUCUGAUCAACAAAUAAAAAUAACACAUUAAAUAAUAAAUAUAAAAGUAAUAAAACAAAAAAAUAAAUUUAAAAAAUAAAAAUCAAACAUUGGAGCAGCUACUGCACAGGCCGAGGAGGGGGGUGUGUGAUCUACAACGGGUGUCGCCAGGGUGGGGGAGAUUUAUAGCCGCUGGAGUGGGGGCUUACAAUAGGGGAAGGGGGAUUGGGGGGUUAUAGCAUGCCGAAGGAGGUUUAUAGCGGCAAGGGGUGGCUUACCGGCUUGCAACGGCACGAUGGGGAAAAGGUGACUCAAGCAACGGUCUUACGACCGAUGGAGGGAGAUUUUGCAUGGUGAAAUGACCGACAGUGGGAGCUUGUCGCGGUGGGUGAGGGGCGGGCGACAACUGCUAUGGUUUGGAGAGAGAGGGUUUGGAAGGAGGUUUUAUAUCUUCCAAAACAACGUUGUUUUGAUGCUAAAAAAAAAAAUUUAAUCGAACUGUCUAGUUUGAAGGGAAAUGGCCCGUUCGUUCGGUUCAUCAAUCGAAUCACCAAUUCAGUCGGUCCGAUCCUGGUUCAACCUAUUUCCGGUCUAAUUGAUCGGAUCGGACCAGAAUCAUGACCAACCGACGAUUGGACCUGCCUGUUUAGUCCGGUUUUUAAAACCAUGAUUAUCAUAAAAUAAGAAAUAUUUUUAUUAAGGUAAUAUUUAAUUCUCGAAAAAUUUGAGGGAAAUAAAAUAGAUAGAAAAAUUAGAAGAAAAAAAUAGAUAAUAAAUUUAAAAUCAAUAAAUUAUUUUUAUAUAUUACUUUAAACUUAUUUUACUUAUUUAACUAUUUUAUAUAAGGAUUAAAUAAUUUUAAAAUAAUAAAUUUUUAAUUAAAUUUAAUUAUAUUUGAUUUUUUUUUAUAGUAGAAUCAAAUAUAAGAAAAUUAUUUUUUGAUAUUUUUUAUUUUUGUAGUAUGAACGCACACUUGGAUAAGAUUGAAAGUUGUGGGCCACAUUUAAAAAUUCUUUUCAAACAAUACUAAUUUUGAUGGAAAACUCUUUUAAGAGGAUUUUAACAUGUUUAAUAAUUUAAAUUAAGUAAUUAAAUCAUAUUAAAUUAUUAAAUAAUUAAUUUAUCAAAUAUUUCUAAAUCUUUUAAUCAAAAUGAAAAAAAUAUUUGUUAUAUAUAUAUAUAUAUAUAUAUAUAUAUGUUCAUCCACGGUGACGAGUUAUUGGAAUAGUGUAGAAGUAGAUAGGUUGUUUGAACUUUGAAGUAGUUCAGAAGUUUGCUUGUCGGAAGACCACUAUUUUAAAAAAAAAAAACAAAUUAUUAUUAUUAUUAUUAUUUUAUUUUUAAUUUUGUAACAUGAAGUCUAUCGUGUUACUCGUCUGUCGCAUCAUUUCCACAUCAUGUCCAAGUGGAUUGAAAAAGCAAACAAGCCAGAAGAAAAGUAUUCAUUUACGAGGAGGGUUUGACCCUCGUACAGUGGAAUUCCAGCACAAAGCCUAGCAAUUUCUCACUUUCUGCCUCCGAAACCUGCCAAUACGCACUCCGUGACGUCUCCAACACUCGCUUCGCUUCAUUCUCCGGAACUUCCUAGUAAAGUAUCAAUUCUUCACUCCCAAAAUCUCUAUACCCAACAGCUCCAUCUACUCCUUUUACGCGUCCUCACAACAGCUAUAUAUAUGCACACACAAAGUGUUCAUCCUCACAUCUUCACAUCUUACCACAUAUUAAGUGUUAUUCACAUCAAUUUUCAUUAAUAUCCUUGUGUUGCGACAGCCAUGAUCAACUGCAAUGUGUAUGAACACAUUUUCAAGCGCUUCGAUGAAGAUGGUGAUGGGAAACUCUCUCCUUCGGAGCUCCGACGCUGCUUGGGGACGAUAGGGGAGGAACUGAUGAUGGAGGAGGCGCAGGAGGUGGUGGAGUCGAUGGACUCGGACGGAGAUGGGUUGCUGGGAUUGGAGGAAUUUGUGGGGUGGAUGGAGAGAGAGGGUGAAGAGAGAAAGAUGGAGGAUUUGAGAGAGGCCUUUAGGAUGUAUGAGAUGGAAGGGAGUGGGUAUAUUACUCCAAAGAGCUUGAAGAGGAUGCUGAGUAGAUUGGGAGAGUCAAGAAGUGUGGAAGAGUGCAGUGUUAUGAUCGCACAGUUUGAUGUAAAUGGGGAUGGGGUUCUGAGCUUUGAUGAGUUCAAGCUCAUGUUGCUUUAAUCUUGUUUGAUACCUUCCAUGUGAAAUUUGUAUCCUUUUUAGGUUUAUAAAGAGUGAUUUGUACUAAAGAUUCUUUCUACAUGUAAGAGGAAUAUGAUUUUUUUCUUCUUUUCGGCCUAUGAUAUAAAAAUUUUAGUAAAUUAAAUUACCACAAAUUUAGUCUUCAAAAAUUGAUAAAUAAAUGGAUAAGCAAAAACAAAAUAGAUAUUCUCCUAUGGACAAGUUUCAUAAAAAAUAAUAAUAAUAAUAAUAAUCACCAACUAUAAAAGGAUAAUAAUAAGAAUAAUAAUAAAUAUAUUAUUAUUAUUAUCUUUUUGGUAAAACCUUUCAAAGAGGAGAAGUUGCUAAAAUUAAGAAAUUAAAUCAUUUGAAUUAAAAAAUUAAAAUAGGAGAAUUCAAAAUUCAAAUUCCCUAUCUUCAUGUAUAAAUAGUGGUGACUUAUUUCAAGAAAAAGAGGGAAAAAUUCAAAAAUAAAGAAAAAUUAAAAAGAAAAUUUUAGGGAGAAAAUCUAAAAGCAACUUUGUACAAGAAAAGAGGAUUUACAUAAAAAAAAAGAGUUUUGUCAAAUCUUCCUACAAGUUUGAUAAAUGACAAAAGAAUUGCUACAUAGGUUUUUCCUCAUUCAACAAAUUCAUUCGAGAAUAAGUCAUUUGUGACCUUCGAUUGAUCUUCAAAAUUAAGAAAACGUCAUCGUCAUUCUUCAAGUUAUGGUUAAAGCGAAAAAAUCGAAGGAAAAUAUUAUUUUGUAAAGAAUAUUAUAUUUGAGAUUGUACCCACAAUAUUUUUAAUUUCAACAAAUAUUUUGUUUGUAUUAUUUUUCCAUUUGUUUUACUAAUUUUGCAUGACAUUUUAUACCUACAAUAACAUUUAUAUAUAUAUAUAUAUAUAUAUGUUCUGUACAUGAUUGUUUGGGACAAACCUUGAAGGAUGUUUGGACCUGCAAUAAUUUUGUUAUAUACUACGAUGAUGACAAGUUUUAUUGAUUAAGGGACUAGGAUUCUAAGAAAGAACUCAACUAACUCUGAAUGGAAGUUGAUGCUUUAACGUCUUAAUAACUUAAAUUAAGUGAUUAAAUCAUAUAUUAAAUUAAUUUAUUAAACAAUUCUAUAUUUGUCUAAUAUGCCAACCAAGGGAAUUAAAGCAUCUUUCUCAUUGAUGCUAAGGAGUUAAUGAAAGCGUGUAGAAGUAGUUAUGGAGUUAGCAUGUUAUUUUGUUCAUUAGUUUUCAACUGAGACCUAUGACUCAAUGAAUCGCUUCAUCUAUAAAGAAAAGAAAAGACAAGGCGGCUGAGUUGAGCGCCUACAAUUUCUCUUCCUGUGGGUGUUUUCUGAAUGUAUUAUUGAAUACAUUUGAUCUCAUUGCACACGUAGCAGUGACUUAACGACCUCAUGUCCACGUGGAUUGAGAAAGUAAAAGUCAAACGCUGUACAUUUACGGGGGUUUUGACCGUUACAGACUGAAAUUCCACCAAACCUUUCAAACACGCACUCCCUGACUUUCCCAACACUCGCGUUUCCUAGUCCAAGUCUUCAUUCUUCACUCUAAAAAAUGACCAUAUCCAACAGCUCUAGUCAUUUUACGCGUCCCCACAAAAGCUAUGUACGUAUUAUAUGCUCACUCACAAAGAGUGGAUCUUCACAUCUUCACUUCCUAUUGCAAAGAGUUAUCCACAUUAAUUUGCACUAACGUUCUUGUGUUGCGCAAGCCAUGGUUAACUGCAGUGUCUUUGGAUGCAUUUUCAAGAAGAUGGUGAUGGAAAACUCUCUCAUUUGGAGGUAUGGCGCUGCGUGGGGACGAUAGGGGGAGGAGCUGCUGCUAAUGUAGGAGGCGUGAUGAAAAACGUUCUUGUGUUUCUUUGGAAUAUUGCAAUGGUUUUUUGGGGGGGUUUUAGGCUGAUAAUGCUCUUUUUAGAGGCUUGAAAAUUUCUGCUGCUUAGUUGUUAAUUUGAAGACACAUCUGUUGUUUAGUGUUCAUGUGCAAAUCUGUCUUACCUUUAUUUUGUUUAGUAUAAAGUUAAAAAUCUUUGAGACGGAUAGUUUCUGUUGAGGAGAAAGAAGAGCGGUUGGAGUUGAUGAUGAGCUCAGAUGAUUUCUAAUUCCUCUUUCAAAAAAAUUUUCUGCUCAGUGACCAUUUUUUAUUUACUGAUCUUCUAUUUUUGUUUUAAUGGAUUUAAAAAACGCCAGAGAUCUCCUCAAGGCUGUUGAUCAGUAUCUCUUGGAGUGUUUUGAGCAUCAGACCUGGUAUUCAAAUAGGAGAAAUGGAGUCUAAACCGGAGGCUCUUGUGAUUCCUCUUCAGAUGUGGAAUUACGAGUUAUGAGUGUGGCAAAUGAGAAUACAUGACUUGCUUGGUGAAGAAGAUAAUGAUAUAGUUGCCGUAAGUAGUCCCAUGCCAUUUUUGCUGCAAGGAUGACCCAUAAACCAAGUGCCGGCCAUCCUAAUUCUGGAACUAAAAUGAAGAAAGUAAGAUUGGGGCAAUUGUGGCAGAGAGGAGUCGAAUGGGCCCGAGCUUUUUACCAACAAUAAUUGUUCCAACAUAAAUGGAAAUAACAAUAACAAAAAAAUAUAUAAUCCCUUUAUGUUCCUCAAAUAGGGAAAUGCUGACGCCUUGAUAUUUCACUGCAAGGAGGACACCUAAUAUUGAAAGGUAGCCGAAAAAAACUUAGAUCUCAAGGGGUUUACUUGAUCCUUGAUCUUACUCUAUGAAGGAAUUUAAUCCUUGCUCUUGCUCCUGUCAAGAAAAUAAAAUUACUUUUGAGUGUCUAAUCAACAAGUAAUUAAUGAAAUUCAAUAAUAAAAUAAAAAAAAUACACAAAAGCCUUCUCAAUAACGAGGGCAUACCGUUGUCGUCUGUCCAUGAAGUGUAGAUGCAGUUGCAGCUCUCAGCUCUUAAGAGCACCUUUCCAAUGGCUGGCAGUAGCUCUUAGCAUUUGUGGGGAUAUAUAGUUUACUAGGCUACUAUGAUGUGAGUCAACCUACGCAAUUUGAGAAGUAGGGCUGAUGUGACAAGCGCUGCAUAGCAACUUCGCUUUGCUUUGACCCAAAAUGCUGUAUUUAAAAAAAAAAAUGCAUAAACUAAACCGAAUAUGAAAAUAAUGCCCAAUCUAGUGCGUCUGGGCCACGUGGAACGCCACAUCAUAAAACCGUAGUUGGUAACUACGGUUUUGAAUUUUUUUAAAUUGGUCAAAACCGUAGUUGGUAACUACGGUUUUGAAUUCCUUUUCUGUCCCUUUCCCAUUAGGUUUCUCCAUUUCCCCGAUUGGCUUUCUUCUCUUUAGGGCUUUGUUCUUCCCUUUAGGGUUUCGUUCUUCCCUUUAGGGUUUCAUCCUUCCCAUUGCAUCCAUAGUUCAAAUUCAAAUUUUGGAAGUCGUUGUCAGGUAAGAUUUAUGAAUUUUUUAGUUAAUCGUAAAUUUUAAUGUUUUUUUUUUUUUGUAAAUCUGUUUGGUUUGUUGUUGUAGAUUUGUUUGGUUUCUGUUUGGUAAAGACAUGUUUGAUUUUAUUUUGAAUUUGAGCUUAGCAGAAAGAAAAUGGUUUUUUUGGUAAACAAAACGGAUAUGGAAUGGGGGACCAGUAUGGAUUUCUUUUUGUUAAAGAUGCCAAAAAUGGAGGGGACCACUGUAAAAAAACUCCGGUGAUUUUUGUUAUAGAAAUAGAAAAUAUCUUCAAAUAUUUGUUACCAAGAGUGAGGGGACCACUCAGAUGGUAUAUCUUCAAAUAUUUGAGCAAGAAUCUUAAACCCAUUCUCAAAAUUUACGCAAAUGUUUUUUCCUAGAACCUUGAGAUUUGUUUUUAUAGUUCUUUAGUUUGGUGAUACUUGAUUUUUUUUCCAUUCAGCUUCCUGUGAGAUUCUGAUUGAACAUAAUUUAAGGAUUUUUUAUUGUUAAAUCUAUUCUCUUCUUUGCAUCUACAGAAAUUCUCAUUCCUUUGAUUGUAAUUUUAUUGAACUAAUGAAAAGUUCAAAACUAGAACAUUCAAUCCUUCAUCAGUUGGUAUAUAUGAGAUUUUUAAUUAUUUUAUUUGUAUUUUCUCUCAUUCUCCCACUCAAUAAGAAAUUAUUAGAACUUGUCUAGUACUGUUUUUUAAAAUUGUUAUAAAAAACAAUUUUUGAGGAUAAUUUUUUAAACUAUCUGUCAAUUAUUUUCAAAAUUUUACUUGAAACCCUUAAUGUAAAAAAUAAUUUUUAAAUUUAUUAUCUGUGUUUCUGGAUUUUUAGCCAAUAUUCGGACUUACAUCAUAUAUAUUUGCAUGGGAAACAGAUGAAUUGAAUGAAGGGCAGGGCUCAUGAUCAACUUCCUUUUUAGUUAUUCUUUCAGCUUCUUCUUCUUCUCCUGCUGCUGUUUUGGUUUACCUCAAGAAUCUCUUUGCCCUUCUCUUCCAAAUUAAACCUUAAUCAAAAGCUUUAGUACAAGCAUAUUCUUCUUCUUCUUCUUCUUCUUCUUCUUCUUCUUCUUCUGAGGUUGCUCUCCUGUAUUUGUGGAUAGGUAAGCUUCAAAGCUUGGUUUUUCUCCCUUCUUAUGGGUUGAAUCUUACGUUUCUCACUGUCAAAAACAUUCCAUGGAAAUUUGAAUACAUACCACUGUAAAACUCAUGAAAAAACUAGACCCAUUGUUUUUUUUUUUUUUUUUUUUGUGAACAAGGUUGUUUAGAUUGAGCACUAUGUUAAUAGAUCUUACUGUGUGAUCCUUUUUUAUUGAUCUCCCUGAUCUUUGCCCUAUUCAUCUUGUGCUUAUGGAUCCUUUAGGGGGCCUAUUUUCUAAAAAAGUUUUUGUUUUUAGAACAAACAAUAGUUUUUCAAUGUUUGGUAAGUUGUAGACUGGAAAUAGCUUUUGAAAAUUUAUCCUAAACAUAGAGUGGUUUGUUUGAAUAAGUUUAAGGAUUUUCACAUAUUUUUUUUGUAGAGUGUUUUGAAAAUUAAUCUAAAAAUAAUGAGAAUAAGUUGGAAAAUUUUGUAUUAUUUCAUAAGUGUACAGUAUCUCGAGCAAAAAAAAAAAAAAAAACUUCUAUAUUUGGGUUCUCAAAAAGAAGUUUAUUCCUACCAAUUAAAGAUUGUCAAACAGAACCUAGCUAGCUAGUUUUUGAGAAAUACAAAAAUGGUGAAUGAGGUGCAAUGCAUAAAAGUUACAAGUAAAAUAGACAAAAACGCUGACCAUGGAUUGUUUGGUAUGGAAAGUGUCAAGGGACAUGUUUUUCUCUUUUGCUUUCAUUUUCCAUGCAGAAAAGUAAUUAAUGUGAAAAAGAGAAAAAGUACACUUGGAGUAGAAGGCCUCUAGUAUAAGUUUGUAACAGUUCAACUUUUGUUAAUUUCCUUCCACUUAUGAUUUGCCUAAUAGUUCUCUUCUUGAUAUGUAUGGAAGUUGCCAAGUUUGAAGAAGAAAAAAUGAGAGCCCUUCAUUUACAUAAUUUUUUUUUUUGCCUUGUAUUUAGAGAGGAAAGUGUGUACACGAAAACAAAGUAAUGGUUGCUAUUAUUAAAGUGGGUUCAAGGCCUUUAUCCUAGCCAUCAGAAUCUGAUCUUGACCUUUUUGUUGCCACUCUAGAUGGUUGUUACUUCAUAUGGUAGACAACAUAAAUAAUUUAAAUUUUGGGAAAACCAUAUUGGGAUUCAUACCCCCUUGUUCUUAUACAUGGCAAAAGAGUUCAUGACCAGUGGGACUAAUGUGAUUUUUGGUUUUACAAUUGUUAAUAAAUAUAUAUACACACAGACAAAUUUUUAUUUUUCUCAUUUUAAUAAAAAAAAUAAAGGAAUUUUGGAGACAAAUAUAUUUUUAAUACAUUUUUAUCAUACAUAAGAUAUUAAAAUAAACAUCUAAUAAAUAAUUUAAUUUUAAUUAUCUUAUUUCCAAAUUUGAUUUAAGUAUUAAAAAUAUAAAAAUGAUUAUUAUAAAUUUUUUAAUGAGUCUUUGUUCAUAUUUUUUUUUAUUAAUUAAACUUAAUAGAAAAAAAAAUUACAAAUAUUUUAAAAAUCAUACAUAUAUCAUCAUUUCUUUUGUAUCUUUUAGAUAUAUCAAUGUAAAAUGUGUUUUCAAGUUCUAUAUAUUAUUAAUUUAUUAUCAAAUAUUAGAAAUAAUAUAUAUAUAUAUAUAUAUAUAAUAUAAAAGUAAUAACUUGAAUAUGCGUAUUAUUUCUUGUUUUUUCUUUUUUUUUUCCCUCAAAAUUUCUUCCUUCGAUUUAUUUGUCAAAAUUUCCACUGAUAUUUCCCGAUAUAUCCUAGUAUAUUCGUAAAAUCCAACUGCCAAUAUAUCCAUGAAAACUGAUGUCUCAUCCUUGGUUCUACUAUCUUUUUGAGGUCAUGCUUCCCAUAUCCCAUGUUGUCCCCUGUUUUAGAUCUGCAAUUUGGUAAUUCAUAUGAAAUUGUUGAUUUAUCCUAGGUUAUUGAUUCAUCUUCACACACAAUUUCUCAUCUAGACAGCUCCUGAUCAAUGAAACUAGUCAAAAGAAGGAACCUAGCUUUCCAAAAACAGAAUAAACACAUAUCAAAUUUUUAUAAUUGUGUAAUUGAUAUUUUAUUAAUAUAUAUUUUUUUGGUCAGUUACUUUUAUUUGAUUUUGAUUUUGAUUUUUUUUUUUCGACUUUUAGCUUUAAUCAAAUAUCAAUUGAUUCAUGAAUAAUAACAUAAUUCUUUAAAUUAUAUAUUAUUUAAUAGUUCAUAACAUUCAAUUUUAUUUUAAUAUAUGAUAUUUUAUAAUAAAAAAAUUUUGGUGGAUUAUUUUUUAUUUAAUUUUAAGGUUAUUGUAAUUUUUUAACUCAACAUUUAUUGAUUUAUAGCCCACUACCUAAGUUUUAAAUUAAAAUUCUAUAAAACAUUUAUCUAUGAUUAUAUUUGUAUCAUAGAUAACUAUUUAAAUAAAAAAAUUAUUAUUAUGAAGUGAUUUAUAUUUUUCCUCCUAAUGUCUAAAAAUGUGUUUUAUUAUAUAAUUGUGUAUUCACAUGUUAAAAUAUUAUAUGCAAUUUCUCUUGCUAUUAUUUUCAUUGAUUAUUAAACCAUUUGAUAUUGUAUUUUUUGUAGGUAAAUCAUGUCUGAAUCUAUUAUUCCUGUGAUUUGCUUUUGUAAAGGAAAAAUGUUGAGGACAGAAACAGAUGUAAAGUAUAUUGGGGAUCUAGCUGUAAUUGUGCCUUUGUAUGUGCCUGUUGGUUCAACCUAUGAACAGUUGUUAUCUAUGAUAUACUCGAGAACUGGCAUUGACAAAAAACAAUUUCAAUUAGUCCUCAACUGUAGAUAUCCUUUGAAAAGGGAAAAUAGGUUUCAACCUUGUCCAAUAUGGGAUGAUAAUAGUUUAUCUCAAAUGUUGAAAUUGGUUAACACAUUUGGAAUGGACGAAAUUGAAUUGUAUAUUGAACAAGUGCCAGUACAACCACGGGAGAGGGGGCAAUUUUUGGGUAACUUCACACAAUUAUUACUCGGACAAAAUGAUAAUGUUGAGGAAUUUGAGUAUGGUUGUGGACCUAGUAGUGCCCCAGUUGCAAUGACUUAUGAGUGUAGAGCAGAUGAAAAUGAAGAAGAAUGUGAAUCCCAAGAAGGUGAUGAUCAAAGUGAGAGAGCAGAAGAUGUUCAACAUGAUGGCGAUGGGGUGUUCGAAUUUAUUGAUGAGGAAAACAAUAAUGUUAAUGUUGUUUCAUCUUUCUUAGCUCUUCACGAAGCAAUGGAAAGUGAACAAGGGAGAUAUGUCUCCGGUAGAGUAUUCCCCUGUUCAGUAUCACUCGGCACCAUCAUUGCAGUUUGAAAAUGUAGAAAACAUUGGUAACGCCGUUUCAAGUGACUGGACCCCAUGGGGGAACACUAAUAUUGGAAACUCAGGUGGAGAGUUCAUGGUUGGCCAAGUUUUUAAUUCAAAAGCAGAUUUACAACAUGCUGCGAAGUUGUACUCUUUAAGUCAACACCAAGAGUACGUUGUUGUUUCGUCAACUACAAAGUUGUUGGUUCUAAGAUGCAAGAAGGCUGAGCAAUCACAAUGUCCAUGGAAACUUCGUGCUAUGGUUGUAAAAGGUACAACUUCAUUUGCAAUCAAUAAAUACAAUGGUCCUCACAAAUGUGUAAAUCCUUGCUUGAAUCGGGAUCAUCAACAAUUAGAUUCCAACUUGAUUGCUGCUCAUAUCCAAGGAAUGAUUAAGGCACAAUUCACAUUGUCAGUGGCUGCUAUUCAAGCAAGUAUUGUGGAGAAAUUCGGAUACCAAAUAUCAUACAAGAAGGCAUCUAAAGCGAAGCUUAAAGCUCUUACAAACUUAUUUGGUGAUUUUUAUAAGUCAUAUGCAGAGCUGCCACAUUUUUUCAUUGCCUUAGAGCAGGCAAAUCCAGGAUGUGUUGUAGUUUCAAAAACAUUUCCUGGUAUUAUGGAGAAUACAGAAAUAUUUCAACGAGUUUUUUGGACAUUUCAGCCAUCUAUUGAAGGAUUCAAGCAUUGUCGGCCUGUACUCAGUAUUGAUGGUACACAUUUGUAUGGGAAGUAUAAAGGCACUUUAAUGAUUGCUAUGGGUUGUGAUGGAAAUAAUAAGUUAUUCCCAUUGGCUUUUGCCCUAACAGAGGGUGAGAAUGUUGAUAGUUGGGGAUGGUUUUUGGCAUGUAUUAGAACAAGAGUCACUAAUAGGAGGAAACUUUGUGUUAUAUCAGAUCGACAUCCAGGCAUUAUGGCUGCAAUGAGCAAUGUUCAUCUUGGUUGGUCUGAGCCAUACGCAUAUCAUAGGGUUUGUAUGCGUCAUCUUGCUAGCAAUUUUAUGACUCGAUUCAAGGAUAAAAUAUUGAAAAAUCUGAUGUGCAGAGCAGCCUUAGCAACCAAGAUUGAAAAAUUCAAUAAACAUAUGAACACAAUUGGGAGGAUUAAUGCAGCCGCACAACAAUGGUUGGAAGCAAUUCCUUUUGAGAAAUGGGCACUCUCUCAUGACGGAGGUCGAAGGUAUGGCAUCAUGACUACAAACAUGUCGGAGGUGUUCAAUAGUGUGCUUAAAGGGGCUCGUAGCUUACCCGUAACUGCUUUGGUUCAAUUGACAUUUUUUCGGCUAAAUAGUUACUUUGUUGUGAGAAGGGAACAAGGUGCUAAUCGACUUGCUUCAAGUGAGGAAUACACUCCAUAUGUUGAUGCUAAGAUGAAGGCAAAUGUGGUUAAGGCGGGAUCUCAUGAGAUUGUUUUAUAUGAUCACAUCCAAGGACAAUUCCAUGUGAAGAGUAAUAGGGGUACUAAGAGUAGUUCAACUGGUGGUCGAACAUAUCGCGUCAACUUACAGGAGUAUGCAUGCACGUGUGGUAAAACACUCAUAUAUGGAUUCCCAUGUAGUCAUAUUCUAGCAGCAUGUCAUUUUCGUUCAGUUGAUUUUAGACCACUUGUUCAACACUACUACAGUACACAAUCGUACUAUAAUACUUGGGCACCCUUGUUCCAUCCCAUUUUCAAUGUAUAUGAGUGGCCUCCUUAUGAUGGCCCGAUUAUCAUGCCUUCUGAGUCGAUGAAACGUGCAUCGAGUGGACGACCUAAAUCAAGUCGUUUGCAUAAUGAAAUGGAUGUCAGAGAGGGCAAGACUUCUAUUACGUGUGGGUUAUGCAAACAAAGUGGCCACAAUCGUCGUUCUUGUCAAAACAGUAAUAGAGUUGAUUAGACCUUGUGAUGUGUGCAUGUAAUUUUCUUGGAUAUUGUGAUGUAAGCUACUAUGAUACUACCUUUAUUCAAUUAUGGGCUUUGGUUUGAUUAUAAAUAUUGAUGUUAUUUGUCUAAUCAGGUUAUUUGUAUUUGGAAUAAUGUCCAUAUUAUAGGGGAAACUCUGUCAAAAUUUUUAAAUUUUCUAUUAAAAAUGUUAACAAAAUGCUUCAUUGUAUUUGUAUUUCUAAUUUUAUUUUAAACUAGUAUGACUUGUUUAUUGGUCAUAAAUGAAUUGAUCUACUUAAAUUUAUCAAAUUGAUAUAUACUUAAUAUAUGGAAAACUCCAUAAAUUUUUAAAACUUUUCCAUUAAAAAUAUUUUUAUUUAAAAACAAUAAGUAUUGUUUAUUUAUCUUCACAAUUUUGUUACAGAUAUGGAGUAUAGAGGACAUAGUUCUGAUCCAGAUCCAUUAGAUACGUCUAUUUUGGUUCUACAGGAUAGACAUAGGUCUCAUUUAGUUGACUCUGGUCAGGUAUGUAUAUGAAAACACAUAAUAUCUCUUUAAAGAAUGAAAAAAAUUGCAGUUUAUUAUCUAAAUGAUUUAUUUGUAUUUUUACAGCUUGCUUCAGUCUUGACUUGUCGACAACAUAUAUCUAGGUUUAUGCGGGAGUGGGAGAUGGAUCCUCGUCUUCAACCUUAUAUUAUUCGAUCUGGAUUUUAUGGUGUAUAUCGUAUUGGACACAUUACACUAGAUUGGGGAUUGAUCACUAGUCUAGUUGAGAGAUGGCGUCCUGAGACACACACAUUUCACUUACCUGUUGGGGAGAUGACCAUUACUUUACAGGAUGUUGCUGUCAUAUUAGGUCUUCGUAUUCAUGGGCUUCCCAUCACUGGCACAUGUGAUAUAGAUUGGUCAUUGCUAUGUUAUGAACUUUUAGGGGUGACUCCCCCUACAUCUGAGAUUAGAGGAUCAGCGAUAUCGACACGAUGGCUAUGUCACCAGUUCUCUCAUCCACCAGUUGAUUUAGAUGAUGCCACAUUAGAGCAGUAUGCACGGGCUUUCAUAUUAGGACUCAUAGGUUCAGCGCUAUUUACAGACAAGAAGGGUACUCACAUACAUAUGUGUUAUCUCCCACUUCUUAGAGACUUGACUCAGACAUCUAUGUAUAGUUGGGGUAGUGCAGUAUUAGCAUACCUAUAUAGGGAGUUGUGUCGAGCGAGUUUGGAUGGUGCCACCGAUAUUGCUGGAUGUGUGACAUUAUUACAGGUAUAAUUAAUUAUUCACAUUAGAUUGAAAUUUCUAGUUGUUUGAAGUUUAUAAUUUAAGUAAAAUUUUAAUGUUACAUUUUUUUUGCAGUUAUGGUCUUGGGAGAGACUCCACCUGGGUCGACCCGAUUUUGGUCGACCACCAGCCCCUCCAGCAGCCCAACAUUUAGAGCAUGAUGCAGUCGAUGAUUUACCAGCUGAGCAUUUAGAGCAGGGAUUACAGGAUGAGGCAUUGUUACAUGAGGGUUUACCGGCUGAUCCGUUAGGAUGUAGGUGGAGAGUACCUUUAUCAUGGGCUCAAAACCCAUCACGUGUGUUGACAUUUUAUCGAGACCAAUUAGAUGCACAGACCCAUGACCAGGUACAUAUAAGAUCUAAUGUGCUAUUGUUAACCAUAUAAACGUUAACUUUAUUAAUUUCAAAUGUUGAUUUUAACAGGUUUUAUGGGAGCCUUACAUGGGAGACUUAGUUGCCCAUCUUCCGGCGAUAUCUCUAGCAGACCAGGAGAUUUGGAGGACGAUGUCACCUCUUAUCUGCUUUGACAUUGUCGAGUGGCAUCGACCGGAGCGAGUGUUGCGACAGUUUGGCCUCCAACAAGGGAUACCUCCAUCUUGUUCCAUAGAGCAACACCUCCAUUCCGUGGAUAGGCGAGGACGACAUAAGUAUGAUUGGGAGGCAUUUCAUGCACAGUAUAUUACCUUAUGGGCUAGUCGUGCGGAGCGUAUUGUGACGGCACCACCUAUGGUGGGUGCUAUGCAGUUUCAUGAUCCAUAUAUGGAGUGGUACCGACGUAUUACAUGACGUUUGAUCACACCCCCUCUCCAUAGAGAUCAGAUGAGGUAUCAUAGUACAGCAGCAGCUACUCAGUUGUUGGUAAGAUUUUUUUAAAUUUAUAAAUGGUUUAUUAAAUUUUAAUUAAUUAAAAAUCAUCUUCGUCUGUUUAACUUUUUUUUUUUUUUAAUAGAUCACUGGUAUGGUUGAGAUUGCUAGUCGAUCUGCUGGGCCUACUUCAGGUGCGUUAGGCGACAUUCAUCGGAUUGCUAUUGAUAUUUUGCAUGUUAUUGGAGAGGACCAUCGCAUACAUUUUGCCCGUCAGUCGCCUACAUCAUCAUACCCAUCUAUGAGACCACCUAUGUCAGCCACUACAGUUAGGAUGCAGCCUAUUCGAGGCCGAGGGAGAGAUAGUAGGAGAGAUGGUGGGCGAGUUGGUCGACAGCCUCGACGAUCUAUGCAUCCACCCGAGACCAUGUUAGCACCAUCCACAUCAUCUACCCCAUUUGCACCUGAGGUUUCCACACUUCCCCCUUCACCCCUACCAUCACCUUCACCUAGACCUUCUCCCUUAGAGCAUGUCGUAUCAGAUACCACUCUACCAUCACCUGUAUUUCCUCCCACAGACGCCACUAUACCUGAUGUCACUACACCAGAGACUACCCCACUAUCUACUAAUCUACCAUCACCUCUACCUUGUCUCGAGGAGACCACUACACCACAUGUCACCUCACCAUCAUCACUUAUAUUUCCUCUCCUCGAGCCCACUAUAUCAGAUGUUAUUGCACCAGCUACCACUACAGUAGAUGUCAUUCUUCCAUCUCCUAUAUCACCUCUCCUAGAUGCUACCAUAUCAGAUAUCACUGUACCUGAGGUCGCCCCACCAUCUACCACUUUACCAUCACCUACACCUCUUCCCAUAGAGACUACCAUGCAUCAUACCCUUACACAUGUUACACAGUUUGAUGUAUGUCCACCUAGGAGACGUCGUGGUCCACGUAGACGUCGAGUCUUGCCUCCAUCAGCUCCAUCUCAACCUAUACAUACCGAGACAUGGCAGAUUGCACAGAUAAAUUCCACAGAGAUGUCUCUUUAUCAUAGGCGUCCGCAGAGAAAGAGGAAGACCCCAUCAUGUGGCACUCAUUGAGGACUGGUUUUUAGUUUUUGUGUUUAUUUUCAUUUGCAUUAUGUUGUUAACUUAUUUAUUUAUUUAUUAUUAUGAACAAAUUAUUAUAUAUUUAAAUGAAAAUAUGAUCAAUUUUAAACUUAAAUUGAACUUAUAUAUAUAUAGCAAUUCGACAAUUUAAAAAUGUGUAACUAAUUAGUUACAACAACACUAUAUCAAUAUAGAAAAAAUAAUGCAUUAAAACUAAUUUACAAUCUUAACCUCCAAUCAAAAUAAUUCUUAAAAAAUUGAACAUUCGCAUGAUUUAAAAUUUGAACUUAAAAAAAUUGGUUUUAUGUUUAAAUUUAAAGCUAUGAUCACCAACUACUAUUUUGACUAUUUAAAAAAAAAAAUUAAUUUGAUGAUGUAAAUACUAUCAAAAAUCAUAAUUACCAAUUACAGUUUUAUGAUGUAAAUACCCUCAUGAAUAAGACACACAUCACAUUGAAAAUUAUUUUGAGAAUAAAAUUAAUUUAUGAAUUUUUUGUUUUAAAGAAAUCAUUUUUGUCCAAAACUCCCGUUAAAACCCAAUAAGGAACAUUUUUCUUAUUCUCAAUGAAUUUACAAAAAUGUUCUAAAAGCAUUUUCAUUUAUUUACCAAAACAGUUAAACUAAAUGGUGAAUUGAUUGGAAAAACAUAGGUAUUUUCUUUCUACAAUUCUAUAUUUUAAGAAGUGGAAAAACAAAUUCUAUUAGGUUGACAUUUUAGGUUUAAAAUUUUAAGCCUUUCCAUUCCAUUCCAUUUUGAUCCCAUUUUGAAAGGAAAAAAUUGGAGAAAAUAAAAUUAUUUUUGUUGUAUUUAAGUAAUUUUCCAAUUAUUUACCCACUUGAAGUCAUAUUAUGUUUUGUACAAAUGCAUAAUUGGCUUUAAUUUUUGUACAAAGUUACAAAAUAAUAUAAUAUUCUUCAUUAUGAGGGCAUAAAAUAUUAUAUUUUUAACUAAUUAUAUUUAUAUUGAGUAUAAUGUCAAAUAUUUUAAUAAAACUAAACCAAAAUAUUUUUAUAUCAAAUUAAAGACAUCAAUUAUUUAAUUUCAUAUAUUAUUAUUCUUUAAAUAAUGAGAUCAAUUAAAGUUAAAUAUUUUUAUUAAACCACUCACAUAUUUUUAGUCAAUCUAAAAUCAAAAUAAUAUAAUAUUUUUAUUUAAAUAAAUUAAAGUUAAAUAAUUUUAUUAAAUCACUCACAUAUUUUUAGUCUAUCUAAAAUCAAAAUAAUAUAAUAUUUUUAUUUAAAUAUUUUUAUAUCAAAUUAAAGACAUCAAUUAUUUAAUUUCAUAUAUUAUUAUUCUUUAAAUAAUGAGAUCAAUUAAAGUUAAAUAUUUUUGUUAAACCACUCACAUAUUUUUAGUCAAUCUAAAAUCAAAAUAAUAUAAUAUUUUUAUUUAAAUAUUUUUAUAUCAAAUUAAAGACAUCAAUUAUUUAAUUUCAUAUAUUAUUAUUCUUUAAAUAAUGAGAUCAAUUAAAGUUAAAUAUUUUUAUUAAACCACUCACAUAUUUUUAGUCAAUCUAAAAUCAAAAUAAUAUAAUAUUUUUAUUUAAAUAAAUUAAAGUUAAAUAAUUUUAUUAAAUCACUCACAUAUUUUUAGUCUAUCUAAAAUCAAAAUAAUAUAAUAUUUUUAUUUAAAUAUUUUUAUAUCAAAUUAAAGACAUCAAUUAUUUAAUUUCAUAUAUUAUUAUUCUUUAAAUAAUGAGAUUAAAGUUAAAUAUUUUUAUUAAACCACUCACAUAUUUUUAGUCAAUCUAAAAUCAAAAUAAUACAAUAUUUUUAUUUAAAUAAAUUAAAGUUAAAUAUUUUUAUUAAAUCACUCACAUAUUUUUAGUCAAUCUAAAAUCAAAAUAAUAUAAUAUUUUUAUUUAAAUAAAUUAAAGUUAAAUAAUUUUAUUAAAUCACUCACAUAUUUUUAGUCUAUCUAAAAUCAAAAUAAUAUAAUAUUUUUAUUUAAAUAUUUUUAUAUCAAAUUAAAGACAUCAAUUAUUUAAUUUCAUAUAUUAUUAUUCUUUAAAUAAUGAGAUCAAUUAAAGUUAAAUAUUUUUGUUAAACCACUCACAUAUUUUUAGUCAAUCUAAAAUCAAAAUAAUAUAAUAUUUUUAUUUAAAUAUUUUUAUAUCAAAUUAAAGGCAUCAAUUAUUUAAUUUCAUAUAUUAUUAUUCUUUAAAUAAUGAGAUCAAUUAAAGUUAAAUAUUUUUGUUAAACCACUCACAUAUUUUUAGUCAAUCUAAAAUCAAAAUAAUAUAAUAUUUUUAUUUAAAUAAAUUAAAGUUAAAUAUUUUUAUUAAAUCACUCACAUAUUUUUAGUCUAUCUAAAAUCAAAAUAAUAUAAUAUUUUUAUUUAAAUAUUUUUAUAUCAAAUUAAAGACAUCAAUUAUUUAAUUUCAUAUAUUAUUAUUCUUUAAAUAAUGAGAUCAAUUAAAGUUAAAUAUUUUUGUUAAACCACUCACAUAUUUUUAGUCAAUCUAAAAUCAAAAUAAUAUAAUAUUUUUAUUUAAAUAUUUUUAUAUCAAAUUAAAGACAUCAAUUAUUUAAUUUCAUAUAUUAUUAUUCUUUAAAUGAUGAGAUCAAUUAAAGUUAAAUAUUUUUGUUAAACCACUCACAUAUUUUUAGUCAAUCUAAAAUCAAAAUAAUAUAAUAUUUUUAUUUAAAUAAAUUAAAGUUAAAUAUUUUUAUUAAAUCACUUACAUAUUUUUAGUCUAUCUAAAAUCAAAAUAAUAUAAUAUUUUUAUUUAAAUAUUUUUAUAUCAAAUUAAAGACAUCAAUUAUUUAAUUUCAUAUAUUAUUAUUCUUUAAAUAAUGAGAUCAAUUAAAGUUAAAUAUUUUUAUUAAACCACUCACAUAUUUUUAGUCAAUCUAAAAUCAAAAUAAUAUAAUAUUUUUAUUUAAAUAAAUUAAAGUUUAAUAUUUUUAUUAAAUCACGCACAUAUUUUUCGUCUAUCUAAAAUAAAAAUAAUAUAAUAUUUUUAUUUAAAUAAAUUAAAGUUAAAUAUUUUAAAUCAAGUAAUAUAAUUAUUUAUAUAUAUAAAUUUAAAGUUGAAGCCGUAGUUGGUGACUACGGCUUUGACUUUUUUUAUAACAGUCAAAGCCGUAGUCACCAACCACGGUUUUAACUUUAAAAAAGUUAAAACCGUGGUUGGUGACUACGGUUUUGAAUGUUUUAAAAAAUUAAAACCGUAGUUACCAACUACGGUUUUAUGAUGUGGCAUCCUAUGUGGCACAAACGCACUAGAUUGGGCAUUAUUUUCACAUUAGGUUUACUUUAUGGAUUUUUUUUUUAAAGUGUAGCAUUUUGGGUCAAAGCUCGAGAAGUUGGAUACGGUGGUGGCGUUUUGAAACCUUCGCAAUUUGAAAUAAGUUCUUAUUUCUUAAAAUAUAAUAUUUUUCAAAAAGAAUUAUAAUAUAAAUUUAUAAAUUAUUCUCUUAUUGUGGCUAUACUACUUUACCAUAAUAAUAAUAAUAAAAGAAUCAGACAUUAAAAUAAGUUCUUUUUGGCAUAACUAAUUUCUAAUGUGUUAAUUAUGAUAAAGAAAUUAUUUUUUCAUCUUAUGUAAAAAAAUAUUUGAUAAUAUAUUAAAAAUAAAUGUAAUUGGGAAAAAGUUUAGAAGUUGUGUCAUUCAUCCAUGCUGAGGAGUAAGUGGCAGUGUGUAGAAGUAGAUAGGUUGUUUGAACUUUGAAACUUGUUUUGACGUUAGCUUGUUGUUCUACAGAAGACCACUAUUUUUUAUUUUAUUUUAUUUUUUAUGUUUUAAUUUUGUAAUUUCUCGUUUGUCGCAUCAUUCCCACGUCAUGUCCAAGUGGUUUGAAAAAGCAAAGAAGCGGUUUUGACCGUUGUACAGUCAAUAAUCUAGAACAUACGCAUUCCGUGACGUCUCCAGCACUCGCUUCGCUUCAUUCUCCAGAACUUCCUAGUAAAGUCUCGAUUCUUCACUCUCAAAAUCUCUAUACCCGACAGCUCCAUCUACUCCUUUUACGCGUCCCCACAACAGCUAUAUAUAUGCACACACAAAGUGUUCAUCCUCACAUCUUCAAAUCUUACUACAAAUUAAGUGUUAUUUACAUUAAUUUUCAUUAACAUCCUUGUGUUGCCACAUCCAUGAUUAACUGCGAUGUGUAUGAACGCAUUUUCAAGCGCUUCGAUGAAGAUGGUGAUGGGAAACUCUCUCCUUCGGAGCUCCGACGCUGCUUGGGGAAGAUAGGGGAGGAGCUGCUGAUGGAGGAGGCGCAGGAGGUGGUGGAGUCGAUGGACUCGGACGGAGAUGGGUUGCUGGGAUUGGAAGAAUUUGUGGGGUGGAUGGAGAGAGAGGGUGAAGAGAGAAAGAUGGAGGAUUUGAGAGAGGCCUUUAGGAUGUAUGAGAUGGAAGGGAGUGG